RNAcentral lists this ribosomal RNA (483 nucleotides) under Triticum aestivum (bread wheat). Its description in RNAcentral is "partial small subunit ribosomal RNA". Lineage: Eukaryota; Viridiplantae; Streptophyta; Magnoliopsida; Poales; Poaceae. The record is from RNAcentral.
AUGGCAGCGGCGGCGAUGCCGCCACGGCGCGCGCCGUGUUCGACGCGAUGCCCGCCGCGACGCCGUCGCGUGGAACGCCAUCCUCACCUCCAACGUCUGCGCCGGCCAGCCGCGCGCGGCCCUCGCGCUCUUCGCCGGCAUGGGCACGCCGGACGCCUUCUCCCUCACCGCCGUGCUCUCCGCGGCGGCGGCCAUCCGCUCGCCCGGCGCCAGCGCGCAGCUCCACGCCCACCUUCUCCGCAGCGGCUGCGCGCGCCGCUCCCCGUCGGCAAUGCGCUCGUCGUCAUGUACGCCAGGUGUGACUGCACGGACGACACCACGCGCGCCUUCUGGGAGAUGCAUGACCGCAACACACCGUCCUGGUGCUCGCUCCUCCACGCCCACGUCGCCUCGGGCCGCAUGGCGCUCGCGCGCGAGCUGUUCGACAAAAUGCCCGCUAGAAGCAUCAACAGUGUUCCUGGAACACGCUGCUCACGGUGUUGA